UCGAGGAUCUUCGGCAAUGGGCGCAAGCCUGACCGAGCGACGCCGCGUGCGGGAUGAAGGCCUUCGGGUUGUAAACCGCUGUCGAGGGGGAGGAAGCCGCAAGGUUGACCUAUCCCUGGAGGAAGCACGGGCUAAGUUCGUGCCAGCAGCCGCGGUAAGACGAACCGUGCGAACGUUGUUCGGAAUCACUGGGCUUAAAGGGCGCGUAGGCGGGUCAGCCAGUUCGGGGUGAAAUCCUUCGGCUUAACCGGAGAACUGCCUCGAAGACGACUGAUCUGGAGGGAGGUAGGGGUCGCUGGAACUUCCGGUGGAGCGGUGAAAUGCGUUGAUAUCGGAAGGAACGCCGGUGGCGAAAGCGAGCGACUGGACCUUUACUGACGCUGAGGCGCGAAAGCUAGGGGAGCAAACGGGAUUAGAUACCCCCGUAGUCC
RNAcentral lists this ribosomal RNA (431 nucleotides) under uncultured bacterium. Its description in RNAcentral is "bacterial SSU rRNA". It matches the Rfam family "Bacterial small subunit ribosomal RNA", at positions 355 to 796 of the family's 1533-position model. The record is from RNAcentral.